Molecule: ribosomal RNA, 280 nt
Filed under: uncultured bacterium
Lineage: Bacteria
Description: partial 16S ribosomal RNA
Rfam family: Bacterial small subunit ribosomal RNA
Source: RNAcentral
CCUAACACAUGCAAGUCGAACGAGGGCUCCCCUUCGGGGAUGUCCCUAGUGGCGCACGGGUGAGUAACGCGUGGGAAUCUGUCCAGGUGUGGGGGAAUAACUACGGGGAAACUGUAGCUAAUACCGCAUACGCCCUACGGGGGGAAAGGCUUCGGCCGCAUUUGGAUGAGCCCGCGUCAGAUUAGCUAGUUGGUGGGGUAAUGGCCUACCAAGGCUACGAUCUGUAACUGGUCUGAGAGGACGAUCAGCCACACUGGAACUGAGACACGGUCCAGACUCC